Molecule: long non-coding RNA, 731 nt
Organism: Uloborus diversus
Lineage: Eukaryota; Metazoa; Arthropoda; Arachnida; Araneae; Uloboridae
Exons: 4
Source: RefSeq, a predicted model, not a curated record
UUACAUAUCUCGAAUCGCUUUAUUGCGUAGCACUCUCUCACAAAAUCCGGCCACACUCAAGCUAGUCUCUCAUCCUAUCCGGAGAAAUGUUCGGCGAUAAAGAAGCCAGCAGUUUGGUUAUAAAUUAUGUCAUACUUAUAUUGCUAUUACUCAUAUUGUGGGUUUUGUACCUAGGGUACUCAUCUUAAAACCAUGGACGAAGCGUCUUCAUAUUCUAACAACACUGGAGGAACAGUAGAUUCAAAAUGUACUACAAUAGGACGUUAUAUCUUCUUUCUUUAUGCCGAAGGCUUACCUGAUUCCAUACAGAUUUCACUGGUAAAAGACUGAGAUAUAUGAUGUAGUGGGGAUAUUUAGUGAUCAUAAUCAUUUGACAUGGCCAGGCUGACAUUGAAUAUCUCAUUUCAUCAAAAAGCUCCAGUCUUUUACAUUUCAGAAAUCACGUAAUGUCACAAAUCAUCUAGCUUUCCGAUUAAAAUGAAGCAGCACAGUUUGUUUAUCAUCAUUUCUGCCUUCCAGUGGGCCAUGCAACCCUGCACGAAACAAGCAUUCGAAAAUGUUCUAAUUUUUGUACCUUGUUAAGAAAAAGAUAAUAAUGAAAUUAUGUAACCAAAGCAUGAUGUGUAACUACAUGAUGUAUAAAAUAUUAAUGAGCAUGAAAUAUAAAUAUGAAUAACGAUAUUUACAUUUUAUAUACUCAAAAAAAUAAAUAAAAUAAAUAUUUUGUUGAU